Molecule: non-coding RNA, 45 nt
Organism: Canis lupus familiaris (dog)
Lineage: Eukaryota; Metazoa; Chordata; Mammalia; Carnivora; Canidae
Source: Rfam
AAUAAGGCUCUUUUCAGAGCCACCUACUUUGUCAAAAACUGUUGU